RNAcentral lists this transfer RNA (65 nucleotides) under Phoronis psammophila. Its description in RNAcentral is "tRNA-Ser". The record is from RNAcentral. Lineage: Eukaryota; Metazoa; Phoronida; Phoronidae.
GAUUAUUAAGCUUUAAGCAGCUUGUUUUGAAAGCAAGAGAAAAGUUCUAGUAGACUUAAUAAUCU